Molecule: ribosomal RNA, 386 nt
Filed under: uncultured bacterium
Lineage: Bacteria
Description: bacterial SSU rRNA
Rfam family: Bacterial small subunit ribosomal RNA
Source: RNAcentral
GACGAACGCUGGCGGCGUGCUUAACACAUGCAAGUCGAACGGUAAGGCCCUUCGGGGUACACGAGUGGCGAACGGGUGAGUAACACGUGGGUGAUCUGCCCUGCACUUCGGGAUAAGCCUGGGAAACUGGGUCUAAUACCGGAUAGGACCAUGGACUUCACGGUUUGUGGUGGAAAGCUUUUGCGGUGUGGGAUGGGCCCGCGGCCUAUCAGCUUGUUGGUGGGGUAAUGGCCUACCAAGGCGACGACGGGUAGCCGGCCUGAGAGGGUGUCCGGCCACACUGGGACUGAGAUACGGCCCAGACUCCUACGGGAGGCAGCAGUGGGAAUAUUGCACAAUGGGCGCAAGCCUGAUGCAGCGACGCCGCGUGAGGGAUGACGGCCUUC